AGAGUUUGAUCCUGGCUCAGAUUGAACGCUGGCGGCAGGCCUAACACAUGCAAGUCGAGCGGUAGCACAGAGAGCUUGCUCUCGGGUGACGAGCGGCGGACGGGUGAGUAAUGUCUGGGAAACUGCCUGAUGGAGGGGGAUAACUACUGGAAACGGUAGCUAAUACCGCAUAAUGUCGCAAGACCAAAGUGGGGGACCUUCGGGCCUCAUGCCAUCAGAUGUGCCCAGAUGGGAUUAGCUAGUAGGUGGGGUAACGGCUCACCUAGGCGACGAUCCCUAGCUGGUCUGAGAGGAUGACCAGCCACACUGGAACUGAGACACGGUCCAGACUCCUACGGGAGGCAGCAGUGGGGAAUAUUGCACAAUGGGCGCAAGCCUGAUGCAGCCAUGCCGCGUGUGUGAAGAAGGCCUUCGGGUUGUAAAGCACUUUCAGCGGGGAGGAAGGCGGUGAGGUUAAUAGCCUCAUCGAUUGACGUUACCCGCAGAAGAAGCACCGGCUAACUCCGUGCCAGCAGCCGCGGUAAUACGGAGGGUGCAAGCGUUAAUCGGAAUUACUGGGCGUAAAGCGCACGCAGGCGGUCUGUCAAGUCGGAUGUGAAAUCCCCGGGCUCAACCUGGGAACUGCAUUCGAAACUGGCAGGCUAGAGUCUUGUAGAGGGGGGUAGAAUUCCAGGUGUAGCGGUGAAAUGCGUAGAGAUCUGGAGGAAUACCGGUGGCGAAGGCGGCCCCCUGGACAAAGACUGACGCUCAGGUGCGAAAGCGUGGGGAGCAAACAGGAUUAGAUACCCUGGUAGUCCACGCCGUAAACGAUGUCGAUUUGGAGGUUGUGCCCUUGAGGCGUGGCUUCCGGAGCUAACGCGUUAAAUCGACCGCCUGGGGAGUACGGCCGCAAGGUUAAAACUCAAAUGAAUUGACGGGGGCCCGCACAAGCGGUGGAGCAUGUGGUUUAAUUCGAUGCAACGCGAAGAACCUUACCUGGUCUUGACAUCCACAGAACUUUCCAGAGAUGGAUUGGUGCCUUCGGGAACUGUGAGACAGGUGCUGCAUGGCUGUCGUCAGCUCGUGUUGUGAAAUGUUGGGUUAAGUCCCGCAACGAGCGCAACCCUUAUCCUUUGUUGCCAGCGGUUAGGCCGGGAACUCAAAGGAGACUGCCAGUGAUAAACUGGAGGAAGGUGGGGAUGACGUCAAGUCAUCAUGGCCCUUACGACCAGGGCUACACACGUGCUACAAUGGCAUAUACAAAGAGAAGCGACCUCGCGAGAGCAAGCGGACCUCAUAAAGUAUGUCGUAGUCCGGAUUGGAGUCUGCAACUCGACUCCAUGAAGUCGGAAUCGCUAGUAAUCGUAGAUCAGAAUGCUACGGUGAAUACGUUCCCGGGCCUUGUACACACCGCCCGUCACACCAUGGGAGUGGGUUGCAAAAGAAGUAGGUAGCUUAACCUUCGGGAGGGCGCUUACCACUUUGUGAUUCAUGACUGGGGUGAAGUCGUAACAAGGUAGCCGU
This 1503-nucleotide ribosomal RNA is filed under the name Klebsiella pneumoniae. Its description in RNAcentral is "bacterial SSU rRNA". It matches the Rfam family "Bacterial small subunit ribosomal RNA". Lineage: Bacteria; Pseudomonadati; Pseudomonadota; Gammaproteobacteria; Enterobacterales; Enterobacteriaceae. The record is from RNAcentral.